GGAUGCGAUCAUACCAGCACUAAAGCACCGGAUCCCAUCAGAACUCCGAAAUUAAGCGUGCUUGGGUGAGAGUAGUACUAGGAUGGGUGACCUCCUGGGAAGUCCUCGUGUUGCAUUCC
RNAcentral lists this ribosomal RNA (119 nucleotides) under Triticum dicoccoides. Lineage: Eukaryota; Viridiplantae; Streptophyta; Magnoliopsida; Poales; Poaceae. The record is from RNAcentral.